ACACCAAAAAAGGUUUUUAGCAACGAACAGUUUAAGACGCUUUUAAUAAGCACCGCAAGUUUUAUAAAAUAAAAAUGUAACGAUGUUUCACAGAGACGGUCAUCAAUUUAGAAGUUUCAGAGCAAUUCUUAUUCGAUUAAGGUCUGAAGAAGUGCAGAUUGUGGAAGUUUUAGUUCUAUGUUUUCAAUCUAUGGAGCAAGCAAAAGUGUAUCUUCUUGGUACAAAGCCGUUUGGGAUGCAUUUGGAGCUAUGUGGAAGAGGAGACGCCCAAAGCUCUUGUCAACUAAUUAUGACUAUUUACUUAAGAAAGCUGAUGGUUCUCAGGGUGACACCACAUAAAAUCAGCAGUGAAGAUGAUGACGGGAAGGAUGGAGAACCUAAAAUCUUUAGACCUCCUUUUAAUGGAAGCCAGGUGAUGAUGUGGAUUACGGAGGUGUCAUGCACCGUGAUGGCUCCAUUCUCAUGUUAGUUUCAACAGACCAGUUAAAGCUUUGAUUUUGAUGCAUAUGCUGCCGAGCUGCUUCAAAUUCUCCGCAAUUUUGGUUCUUCAGGUAUAAGCUCUUUGUUCUGGUUUUCUAUUGCAUAAAUAUUAAAGUUGAUGAUUUCACCGGAUUCGAUGUUCCGUUGAGAAAUGAAUUGAGGUUUUGAAUUAAAUUCAAAAAUGGCUGUGUUGAUAAUUUGAGGUUUAGUUUCAAAUUUGAAGAAAUCAUCAACGUUAAAGAAUAAUUAAUUGCACUUUGAGCAAGAUAUCUUUUAAUAUGAGGAAGAUGUAGCAUUUUGGUGAAAGUAGAUCACCAAGUUGGACUAAUCGCAUGAAUGCAGACUCGAAUGCACACUAGUUGGAAUAGUAACCGAUUCAAAUCAAAUUUCUUAGACAAGGGUAUGCAUUUGCUUAAAGGUCUAGUAAUUGCGUUAAUUGGCUUUGUCCUCUGCAUUCUUACGGAUUUGAUAUGAUGUCAAAGAUCAACUUGAAGACUCAUAGAAGGUUAAAGACCAAAAUCAGAUGGAUUUGAAAGAGAAAUAGAUUAGCUUAAAUAUAUAAUCAUGAAUGUUUUUAGUUUUUGUUAGUUUAGCCAAUUUAGGGUACUAUAAUGUAGAUAUUACAAUUUCAAACUUAUGUAUUUUCAUUAGUUGUUGACUUUUCUUAUCAUAUAUAUGACUUUUUAUGA
RNA transcript from Mercurialis annua (annual mercury), 1169 nucleotides. RefSeq lists it as uncharacterized. The record is from RefSeq and is a predicted model, not a curated record. NCBI's taxonomy places the organism in Eukaryota, Viridiplantae, Streptophyta, Magnoliopsida, Malpighiales, Euphorbiaceae. The transcript is spliced from 9 exons.